GUUGACCUCGGAUCAGGUAGGAAUACCCGCUGAACUUAAGCAUAUCAAUAAGCGGAGGAAAAGAAACCAACAGGGAUUGCCCUAGUAACGGCGAGUGAAGCGGCAACAGCUCAAAUUUGAAAUCUGGCCUCGGCCCGAGUUGUAAUUUGCAGAGGAUGUUUCUGGCGCGGCGCCUUCUGAGUUCCCUGGAACGGGACGCCAUAGAGGGUGAGAGCCCCGUACGGUUGGACGCCUAGCCUGUGUGAAACUCCUUCGACGAGUCGAGUAGUUUGGGAAUGCUGCUCAAAAUGGGAGGUAUAUCUCUUCUAAAGCUAAAUAUUGGCCAGAGACCGAUAGCGCACAAGUAGAGUGAUCGAAAGAUGAAAAGCACCUUGAAAAGGGGGUUAAACAGCACGUGAAAUUGUUGAAAGGGAAGCGCCCAUGACCAGACUUGUGCCCGGCGGAUCACCCAGCGUUCUCGCUGGGGCACUCCGCCGGGUCCAGGCCAGCAUCGGUUUUCGCCGGGGGAUAAAGGCUCUGGGAACGUAGCUCCUCCGGGAGUGUUAUAGCCCUCUGCGUAAUACCCUGGCGGGGACCGAGGUACGCGCUCCGCAAGGAUGCUGGCGUAAUGGUCAUCAGCGACCCGUCUUGAAACACGGA
RNAcentral lists this ribosomal RNA (639 nucleotides) under Phaeoacremonium viticola. RNAcentral's name for it is "eukaryotic LSU rRNA". It matches the Rfam family "Eukaryotic large subunit ribosomal RNA", at positions 1 to 665 of the family's 3401-position model. The record is from RNAcentral. Lineage: Eukaryota; Fungi; Ascomycota; Sordariomycetes; Togniniales; Togniniaceae.